Molecule: ribosomal RNA, 579 nt
Filed under: uncultured prokaryote
Description: bacterial SSU rRNA
Rfam family: Bacterial small subunit ribosomal RNA
Source: RNAcentral
CCUUAACUCUGUGUCUGUCAAACCUAAGGCUUAACCCUGGACGUGCAGGCGAUACGGGCUGACUUGAGUACUACAGGGGAGACUGGAAUUUCUGGUGUAGCGGUGGAAUGCACAGAUAUCAGGAAGAACACCGAUGGCGAAGGCAGGUCUCUGGGUAGUAACUGACGCUGAGGAGCGAAAGCAUGGGUAGCGAACAGGAUUAGAUACCCUGGUAGUCCAUGCCGUAAACGGUGGGCGCUAGGUGUGGGGUUCCUUCCACGGGCUCCGCGCCGUAGCUAACGCAUUAAGCGCCCCGCCUGGGGAGUACGGCCGCAAGGCUAAAACUCAAAGAAAUUGACGGGGGCCCGCACAAGCGGCGGAGCAUGUGGAUUAAUUCGAUGCAACGCGAAGAACCUUACCUGGGCUUGACAUAUAGAGGAUCGCUACAGAGAUGUGGUUUCCCUUGUGGCUUCUAUACAGGUGGUGCAUGGUUGUCGUCAGCUCGUGUCGUGAGAUGUUGGGUUAAGUCCCGCAACGAGCGCAACCCUUGUCUUAUGUUGCCAGCACGUUAUGGUGGGGACUCGUGAGAGACUGCCAAAA